UCUCCAUUCUCCUCCUUUAGUUUUUGGGCAAAGUCUCAGUGGUUUUAUUGCCACUGGUGCUCCUAUCCAGAGAACACCUGCAUCCGGGCACGGAAAAUUCCAGUGUGGGUUGGGCAGCCUUCCCCCAUCUUGCCGUUGACCCAUCUGGACCACGUGGUCUCCAGGGUUGCCGGAACGGGAGGAGCGGGGCAUGGAAGGGGGACACCGGCUAUGACUGCCUCAGCCCAGAAGGGACACCCAUCGUUCUGCUCAGGGUCGCCUCGCCAGAACCAGUCCUGACCCCUCCUUCACCGCACGAGAGGUUGGGAACGAUACCCAGGAGCACGUGGAAUAAUACCCGGGGAGCACGUCUCUGCCCUGGUUUCACCGUCACCUCAUCACGACGCCCCACCAGGCCUUGUGCUCUGCCACCUUCUCCGUCCCGAGCCCGAGGCAGCCGUCACAAGCAAAUGCGAUGCUCGUAAUGGGGAAGCCCAAAGAAAUCUCCUAUUUGCCCCCUCUUGCUAACGCGUAGGACGUUGACUCCUCACCUGCAGCCGGGGCAGCCUCGCUGAGGUCUGGACAGACUGGGCAGCAGCCAAGACUCGCGCUUCAGGGUCGGGCCUGGACGAGGUCAGGCACUGCCGGGGAGGAGAGCUGAGUGAAGGUGUGUGGCACCGGGAACCGGGUCACAGGCCUCACUGUGGGGACCAGCAUGGGAAGAAGCAGCUGGGGUCUCUCUGACCUUUGAUUUCUGAUUUCCUCAGCCACAGUCUGCUCUAACUUCCUGGGUGACUGCGCCAGGCAUCCGGUGGUUGGAGGCACCCGGACACUCGGCAUCUGUGUAGGACCGUGUGGUCCACAAGUGGCUGAAUAGCGGCUCGUCUCGUUCGCUCUUUCCCACCGAACUCCAGGGGACCCUCAUGAGGGGUGGCCUCGUCGUGCAGCCCUCAGCGAGAACCCAGCCAGGGGAGCCGGGAGAGGUUUGGGAGGGGACCAGGCCCUUCUCUAGGCCUUUCUCUGUGAAGAUCACUUUUCUAGGUUGAGCCACCAUGGCAGUGAGGAUGAAC
RNAcentral lists this long non-coding RNA (1049 nucleotides) under Felis catus (domestic cat). RNAcentral's name for it is "lncRNA (ENSFCAG00000050077.1)". Lineage: Eukaryota; Metazoa; Chordata; Mammalia; Carnivora; Felidae. The record is from RNAcentral.